CCAAGGAGUCUAACAUGUGCGCGAGUCGCAGGGUGCUCGCAAAAUUAAAAAAAACCCGAACCCCGAAGGCGCAAUGAAAGUGAAGGUCGGUGGUCUUGACCGACCGAGGCGGGAUCCGCCCGGGCGUCGAUCCGAAAUGCCCGAGUCGCAAGGCUCGGGUUUUCGGUGAGCCCGGCGGCGCACCGCCGGCCCGUCUCGACCGCUUCUUGUCGGCGAGGCGGAGCAAGAGCGCACACGUUGGGACCCGAAAGAUGGUGAACUAUGCUCGGGCAGGACGAAGCCAGAGGAAACUCUGGUGGAGGUCCGUAGCGAUUCUGACGUGCAAAUCGAUCGUCGGACCCGAGUAUAGGGGCGAAAGACUAAUCGAACCGUCUA
This 375-nucleotide ribosomal RNA is filed under the name Cormocephalus nitidus nitidus. RNAcentral describes it as "eukaryotic LSU rRNA". It matches the Rfam family "Eukaryotic large subunit ribosomal RNA", at positions 666 to 946 of the family's 3401-position model. The record is from RNAcentral. Lineage: Eukaryota; Metazoa; Arthropoda; Chilopoda; Scolopendromorpha; Scolopendridae.